AAGGGCGCACGGUGGAUGCCUUGGCACUAGGAGCCGAUGAAGGACGGGACUAACACCGAUAUGCUUUGGGGAGCUGUAAGUAAGCUAUGAUCCAGAGAUUUCCGAAUGGGGAACCCAGCAUCUUUUAUAGGAUGUUACGUCUGCGUGAAUACAU
RNAcentral lists this small RNA (154 nucleotides) under Enterococcus casseliflavus ATCC 12755. It matches the Rfam family "Bacterial large subunit ribosomal RNA", at positions 13 to 167 of the family's 2925-position model. The record is from RNAcentral. Lineage: Bacteria; Bacillati; Bacillota; Bacilli; Lactobacillales; Enterococcaceae.